AGGCGUGGUCGGUGGUGUUACAUUCACGCUGUUGCAGGCGUGCAGGUCGGUGGUGUUACACACAUUCACACUGUUGCAGGCGUGCAGGUCGGUGGUGUUACACACAUUUGGGCUGUUGCAGGCGUACAGGUCAGUGGUGUUACACACAUGCUGUUGCAGGAGUACAGGUCGGUGGUGUUACACACAUUCAUGCUGUUGCAGGCGUGCAGGUUGGUGCUGUUACACACAUGCUGUUGCAGGAGUACAGGUCGGUGGUGUUACAUGCUGUUGCAGGCGUGCAGGUCGGUGGUGUUACAUUCACGCUGUUGCAGGCGUGCAGGUCGGUGCUGUUACACACAUUCCUGCUGUUGCAGGAGUACAGGUCGGUGGUGUUACACGUGCUGUUGCAGGUGUGCAGGUCGGUGGUGGUACACACAUUCAUGCUGUUGCAGGAGUAUAGGUCGGUGGUGUUACACACAUUCACGCUGUUGCAGACGUGCAGGUCAGUGCUGUUACACACGCUGUUGCAGGCGUGCAGGUUGGUGGUGUUACAUUCACACUGUUGCAGGCGUGCAGGUCGGUGGUGUUACACACAUUCAUUCUGUUGCAGGCGUGCAGGUCAGUGUUACACACAUUCACGCUGUUGCAGGCGUGCAGGUCGGUGGUGUUACACACAUUCACGCUGUUGCAGAUGUGCAGGUCGGUGCUGUUACAUUCACGCUGUUGCAAGCGUGCAGGUCGGUGGUGUUACAUUCACGCUGUUGCUGGCGUGCAGGUCGGUGGUGUUACACACAUUCACACUGUUGCAGACAUGCAGGUCGGUGCUGUUACACACAUUCAUGCUGUUGCAGGCGUGCAGGUCGGUGGUGUUACAUUCACACUUGCAGGCGUGCAGGUCGGUGGUGUUACACACAUUCAUGCUGUUGCAGGCGUGCAGGUCGGUGGUGUUACACACAUUCACACUGUUGCAGGCGUGCAGGUCGGUGGUGUUACAUUCAUGCUGUUGCAGGCGUGCAGGUCAGUGGUGUUACACACAUUCACGCUGUUGCAGGCAUGCAGGUCGGUGGUGUUACACACAUUCACGCUUUUGCAGGCGUGCAGGUCGGUGGUCUUACAUUCAUACUGUUGCAGGCGUGCAGGUCGGUGGUGUUACAUUCACACUGUUGCAGGCGUGCAGGUUGGUGUUACACACAUUCACACUUGCAGGCGUGCAGGUCGGUGGUGUUACACACAUGCUGUUGCAGGCGUGCAGGUCGGUGGUGUUACACACAUUCAUGCUGUUGCAGGCGUGCAGGUCGGUGGUGUUGCACAUUCAUGCUGUUGCAGGCAUGCAGGUCGGUGGUGUUACAUUCACG
RNAcentral lists this long non-coding RNA (1334 nucleotides) under Homo sapiens (human). RNAcentral describes it as "non-protein coding lnc-UAP1L1-4:3". Lineage: Eukaryota; Metazoa; Chordata; Mammalia; Primates; Hominidae. The record is from RNAcentral.